AGUACGUGCCGAGGGCCAUCUUGGUGGACCUGGAGCCGGGCACCAUGGACUCGGUGCGCUCGGGACCCUUCGGGCAGAUCUUCCGGCCGGACAACUUCGUUUUUGGCCAGAGCGGCGCGGGCAACAACUGGGCCAAAGGUCACUACACGGGCCAAGGGGUCACUACGGGGGGGGGGCGGAGCUGGUGGACUCGGUCCUGGACGUGGUGAGGAAGGAGGCGGAGAGCUGCGACUGCCUGCAGGGCUUCCAGCUGACCCACUCGUUGGGCGGCGGCACCGGCUCCGGCAUGGGCACCCUCCUCAUCUCCAAGAUCCGCGAGGAAUAUCCCGACCGCAUCAUGAACACCUUCAGCGUCGUCCCGUCCCCCAAGGUGUCGGACACGGUGGUGGAACCCUACAACGCCACCUUGUCCGUCCACCAGCUGGUGGAGAACACGGACGAGACCUACUGCAUCGACAACGAAGCCCUCUACGACAUCUGCUUCCGCACCCUGAAGCUGACCACGCCCACCUACGGUGACCUCAACCACCUCGUCUCGGCCACCAUGAGCGGCGUCACCACCUGCCUGCGUUUCCCCGGUCAACUCAACGCCGACCUCCGCAAGUUGGCCGUCAACAUGGUGCCCUUCCCACGUCUCCACUUCUUCAUGCCGGGCUUCGCGCCGUUGACGUCGCGCGGCAGCCAGCAGUACCGCGCCCUCACCGUCCCCGAGCUCACCCAGCAGGUCUUCGACGCCAAAAACAUGAUGGCCGCCUGCGACCCGCGCCACGGCCGCUACCUGACGGUGGCCGCCGUCUUCCGCGGCCGCAUGUCCAUGAAGGAGGUGGACGAGCAGAUGCUCAACGUCCAGAACAAGAACAGCUCCUACUUCGUCGAGUGGAUCCCCAACAACGUCAAGACGGCCGUCUGCGACAUCCCGCCGCGCGGCCUCAAGAUGGCCGUCCCCUUCAUCGGCAACAGCACGGCCAUCCAGGAGCUCUUCAAGCGCAUCUCGGAGCAGUUCACGGCCAUGUUCCGGCGCAAAGCCUUCCUCCACUGGUACACGGGCGAGGGGAUGGACGAGAUGGAGUUCACCGAGGCCGAGAGCAACAUGAACGACCUCGUCUCGGAGUACCAGCAGUACCAGGACGCCACCGCCGAGGAGGAGGAGGACUUCGGUGAAGAGGCCGAAGAGGAGGCCUGAGGGGAUGGUUGUCUAGCGGAGCCCUCGUCCUUCACUGCCAUCGUCAUCCUCGGAGAGCCCUUGUCUUUCAGCGUUGUCCUCGGAGAGCCCUCGUCCUUCGCCGUCGUCGUCUUCGGAGAGCCCUUGUCC
This is a non-coding RNA of Opisthocomus hoazin, 1312 nucleotides long. The record is from RefSeq and is a predicted model, not a curated record. NCBI's taxonomy places the organism in Eukaryota, Metazoa, Chordata, Aves, Opisthocomiformes, Opisthocomidae.